RNAcentral lists this transfer RNA (77 nucleotides) under Gemmatimonadaceae bacterium. RNAcentral describes it as "tRNA-Gly". It matches the Rfam family "tRNA". From Rfam's summary of the family: Transfer RNA (tRNA) molecules are approximately 80 nucleotides in length. Their secondary structure includes four short double-helical elements and three loops (D, anti-codon, and T loops). RNAcentral also lists the same sequence under 3 other names. Lineage: Bacteria; Pseudomonadati; Gemmatimonadota; Gemmatimonadia; Gemmatimonadales; Gemmatimonadaceae. The record is from RNAcentral.
GCGGGAGUAGCUCAGUUGGCUAGAGCGCGAGCCUUCCAAGCUCGAUGUCGCGGGUUCGAGUCCCGUUUCCCGCUCCA